Molecule: non-coding RNA, 95 nt
Organism: Canis lupus familiaris (dog)
Lineage: Eukaryota; Metazoa; Chordata; Mammalia; Carnivora; Canidae
Source: Rfam
UGGUGACCUGAGGCUCCCUGACUGUCACUCUGUCCCGCCCAUUCUGGCCCACAGGGCACAGGCUGAGUCCCAGUAAAGUCUGUGAGGCCUGACCC